Molecule: long non-coding RNA, 774 nt
Organism: Eucalyptus grandis
Lineage: Eukaryota; Viridiplantae; Streptophyta; Magnoliopsida; Myrtales; Myrtaceae
Exons: 2
Source: RefSeq, a predicted model, not a curated record
AUUUGCAACUUGCAAGUUGUACCGAAUUCCGCAGAACCGGAGGAAGACGAGCCGAUCCGGAUCCGUAUCCGAACCCGAAUCGCGAAACCGGUCGCGCGACGACCAUGUUCGGCCGGAGCCGGUUCCUGUCGUUCCCGACGGUGAUCGGAGCCGUCGUGAUUGGAGUUGUCUCUGGCAAAGCAAUAUUUGGACCACCUCUUGAUGAGUACUGGAAAAAGAAGCAUGAGGAAGAGGCAGCUGUGAAGGGAACUGAUAGCAGCUCAUCUUAGCUUGCACCAUGUUAUAUUGCAUCCAGGGAAGCUGAACAACUAGAGGUUGAAGAGCUUUCCAGGUGCUGGCCGACCUUUUAGUUGGCUGGAUUAUCGGAUGAUUCUUCAGCAAGUCACAGGAAAUGACCUGGAGCUAAGAACGGGUAGAGGAUACAUGACUUCAUUUAAUCUUAACCCACUGCGAGUGUCUGAAGAUUGUUUCAUUCUCAAGGACAGCAAUUGUCGGUGCUAUUUUGCAUUGAUGCACUUCCUAAGCUGCAUUGGGACGGACUUACUGAACUGGUGGUGUGGAAGUGUAGAGUUUCUUAGUGGGAAUUGAUCUUGAAUGAAAUUGACUCAAGCUGUGUGAUGAAAAGUACCUUCCAACGUGUACUAUUUGAAUAUUGGAGGUUGCCUCCAGUGAUUGUAGUUUCCAUAUUUUGGUGAUAAAGCAAGCGGAUGCAGGUUCAGCCAAACUAUUACGGUAUCGUCAGGCAUAAUAUGACCUGAAGAGAGUCUAUAGGUA